GCGGCGUUGGGGGAGGGCGGGAUGCUGGGGAGGCAGUGGGGGCGUGCUGUGGGGGCAUCCUGGGCGUGGGCCGGUCCACCGGGGUUCAGCGGCCGCAGGUAGUGGGAACGGGGCUGGGCGACGGGGCACAGGCCACACGCAAGGAGAAGUGAGCUUGCUUGGCUGCGAAAGCAUGGGGCGGGGGGCAGCUGUGGAUGCUGCGCUGUUUGGGUUUUGCCUGACGUCAUUUUUCUUUCUGGUCCAGCGGCCUCCCGGAUGCUUGCGGCAGAAGGCGCUGGUGUACCCCUAUCAUGGGCAGCAACCCCUUGGGAAGAGCUGAAGACCAGCCAGGGGAGAGGGAAAAAAAAAAAGCACAGAACACAUGCUGGUUCCAGAUUCCUGGCAAGAAUCAGAGCGCCUGUGCUGUGCUGAAAGCCGGCCCAAGCACAGAGCAGCAGAGGCCACUUGGAGCAGCUGCUGUCGACUUCCGCCUCGCUGGACAGCAUCCCUUCAGAUCCAUCUUUUCAAGAAACUGUGGCCAGGACACUGCUGAUCUGCUUGCUGUCAUCUCUCGUGUGGUUCUUGGGUGUCUCUUCAGAACAUGCUCCGAGGCUCCUCUUACGUUUCCCUGCAAAGAACCCUUGUAAGGGGGCUGCCUACACAUGGCCUGCAUCUCUCGUUUCUACCACUGAGUUAGAGACACCUCCUUGCUCAUUUGGCAACAGCAGCAGCAGAAGUUGGAAUCUGUGCCACCUGGGACGUACCUGAGCCGGAGCCGAAGCAUGUGGUACUCUCAGUACGGGAACGAGGCCAUCCUUGUCCGGGACAGA
Molecule: long non-coding RNA, 809 nt
Filed under: Sus scrofa (pig)
Lineage: Eukaryota; Metazoa; Chordata; Mammalia; Artiodactyla; Suidae
Description: lncRNA (ENSSSCG00070004835.1)
Source: RNAcentral